AUAAGGGCGCACGGAGGAUGCCUUGGCACUAGGAGUCGAAGAAGGACGCGACAAACGGCGAAACGCCUCGGGGAGCUGUAAGUGAGCAUUGAUCCGGGGGUAUCCGAAUGGGGAAACCCGCUAGUGGUUAUACGCUAGCACCAUAUGGUGAAUACAUAGCCAUAUAGGAGACAGACCCAGGGAACUGAAACAUCUAAGUACCUGGAGGAAAAGAAAGAAAAAUCGAUUCCCGUAGUAGCGGCGAGCGAAGUGGGAAGAGCCCAAACCGGAUUUAUCCGGGGUUGUAGGACCUUCAUAAUUGACAAAUCAUGAUAGCCGAAUGGUCUGGGAAGGCCAACCGUAGGGGGUGAGAGUCCCGUAGGUGAAAUUGUGAGAUGCAUGGAAGGAAUCCUGAGUACGGCGGGACACGUGGAAUCCCGUCGGAAUCAACGAGGACCAUCUCGUAAGGCUAAAUACUACCUAGUGACCGAUAGUGAACCAGUACCGUGAGGGAAAGGUGAAAAGAACCCCGGAAGGGGAGUGAAAGAGAACCUGAAACCGUGUGCCUACAAAUAGUCAGAGCCCGUUAAUGGGUGAUGGCGUGCCUUUUGUAGAAUGAACCGGCGAGUUACGAUAUCGUGCGAGGUUAAGCAGAAGAUGCGGAGCCGUAGCGAAAGCGAGUCUGAAUAGGGCGAAGAGUACGAUGUUGUAGACCCGAAACCGUGUGAGCUAGCCAUGAGCAGGCUGAAGGUCAGGUAACACUGACUGGAGGGCCGAACCAGGGCACGUUGAAAAGUGCUUGGAUGACUUGUGGCUAGGGGUGAAAUUCCAAUCGAACACGGAUAUAGCUGGUUCUCUCCGAAAUAGCUUUAGGGCUAGCCUCGAUGUUAAGUCUACUGGAGGUAGAGCACUGAAUGGGUGAUGGCCCCACCUCGGGGUACUGAUCUCAAUCAAACUCCGAAUGCCAGAUAGAUAUAAUCGGGAGUCAGACUGUGGGUGAUAAGGUCCAUGGUCAAAAGGGAAAGAGCCCAGACCGCCAGCUAAGGCCCCCAAGUGUCCGUUAAGUGGAAAAGGAUGUGGAGAUGCACAGACAACUAGGAGGUUGGCUUAGAAGCAGCCAUCCUUUAAAGAGUGCGUAAUAGCUCACUAGUCGAGUGACUCUGCGCCGAAAAUGUACCGGGGCUAAACGGACCGCCGAAGCUGCGGAUUGACUUUAGAGUCAGUGGUAGGAGAGCGUUCUAACAGCGGUGAAGCAGUACCGGAAGGAGCUGUGGAGCGGUUAGAAGUGAGAAUGCCGGUGUGAGUAGCGAAAGAUAGGUGAGAAUCCUAUCCAUCGAAAGCCUAAGGUUUCCAGGGGAAGGCUCGUCCGCCCUGGGUAAGUCGGGACCUAAGGUGAGGCCGAAAGGCGUAGCCGAUGGACAACAGGUUGAUAUUCCUGUACCACUUAUUAAACUGAUGGAGUGACGGAGAAGGCUAAGUUGAGCGUGUGAUUGGAUUCACGUGUAAGCAGUGAGGUGGUCAUGUAGGCAAAUCCGCAUGGCAUAACAUUGAGCUGUGAUGCCGAAGCCGAAUGGCGAAGUCAACUGACGUCACGCUUCCAAGAAAAGCUUCUAGGGUUAAUUUAAUAAGUGCCCGUACCGAUAACCGACACAGGUAGGCGAGGAGAGAAUCCUAAGAUGAGCGAGAGAACUCUUGUUAAGGAACUCGGCAAAAUGACCCCGUAACUUCGGGAGAAGGGGUGCUUGUGAAAGCAAGCCGCAGUGAAUAGGCCCAGGCGACUGUUUAUCAAAAACACAGGUCUCUGCUAAACCGCAAGGUGAUGUAUAGGGGCUGACGCCUGCCCGGUGCUGGAAGGUUAAGAGGAGAGGUUAGCGCAAGCGAAGCUUUGAAUUGAAGCCCCAGUAAACGGCGGCCGUAACUAUAACGGUCCUAAGGUAGCGAAAUUCCUUGUCGGGUAAGUUCCGACCCGCACGAAAGGCGUAA
This 1962-nucleotide ribosomal RNA is filed under the name human gut metagenome. RNAcentral describes it as "bacterial LSU rRNA". It matches the Rfam family "Bacterial large subunit ribosomal RNA", at positions 12 to 2004 of the family's 2925-position model. The record is from RNAcentral.